CCGUAACUGACGCUGAGACACGAAAGCGUGGGUAGCAAACAGGAUUAGAUACCCUGGUAGUCCACGCCCUAAACGAUGCAUAUUUGGUGUGGGUCAUUCAGUUGAUCCGUGCCGGAGCUAACGCGUUAAAUAUGCCGCCUGGGGAGUACAGUCGCAAGGCUGAAACUCAAAGGAAUUGACGGGGGCCCGCACAAGCGGUGGAGCAUGUGGUUCAAUUCGACGCAACGCGAAGAACCUUACCUGGGCUCGAACGGCUGGUUACCGGCGGUGGAAACAUCGCUACCCCGCAAGGGGGUCCAGUCGAGGUGCUGCAUGGCUGUCGUCAGCUCGUGUCGUGAGAUGUUGGGUUAAGUCCCGCAACGAGCGCAACCCUUGUCCUGUGUUGCCAUCAUUCAGUUGGGAACUCGCAGGAGACCGCCAGCGAUAAGCUGGAGGAAGGUGGGGAUGACGUCAAGUCCUCAUGGCCUUUAUGUCCAGGGCUACACACGUGCUACAAUGGGCGGUACAAAGCGCAGCAAACCCGCGAGGGGGAGCCAAUCGCAAAAAACCGUUCUCAGUUCGGAUUGCAGGCUGCAACUCGCCUGCAUGAAGCUGGAAUCGCUAGUAAUGGCAGAUCAGCACGCUGCCGUGAAUACGUUCCCGGGCCUUGUACACACCGCCCGUCACAUCACGAAAGUGGAUUGUACUAGAAGUCUGUACGCUGACCCGCAAGGGAGGCAGCGGCCCAAGGUAUGAUUCAUGAUUGGGGUGAAGUCGUAACAAGGUAGCCGUAGGAGAACCUGCGGCUGGAUCACCUCCUU
RNAcentral lists this ribosomal RNA (800 nucleotides) under uncultured bacterium. RNAcentral describes it as "bacterial SSU rRNA". It matches the Rfam family "Bacterial small subunit ribosomal RNA", at positions 734 to 1532 of the family's 1533-position model. The record is from RNAcentral.